ACAAUGGAGAGUUUGAUCCUGGCUCAGGAUGAACGCUAGCGGCAGGCCUAAUACAUGCAAGUCGAGCGGUAGAGAUGCUUUCGGGUGUCUUGAGAGCGGCGCACGGGUGCGUAACACG
RNAcentral lists this ribosomal RNA (118 nucleotides) under Algoriphagus marincola. RNAcentral's name for it is "partial 16S ribosomal RNA". It matches the Rfam family "Bacterial small subunit ribosomal RNA", at positions 1 to 117 of the family's 1533-position model. The record is from RNAcentral. RNAcentral also lists the same sequence under 1 other name. Lineage: Bacteria; Pseudomonadati; Bacteroidota; Cytophagia; Cytophagales; Cyclobacteriaceae.